This 482-nucleotide ribosomal RNA is filed under the name uncultured bacterium. RNAcentral's name for it is "partial 16S ribosomal RNA". It matches the Rfam family "Bacterial small subunit ribosomal RNA", at positions 28 to 523 of the family's 1533-position model. The record is from RNAcentral.
GACGAACGCUGGAGGCGUGCUUAACACAUGCAAGUCGAACGAUGAAAUGGAGCUUGCUCCAUGGAUUAGUGGCGAACGGGUGAGUAACACGUGAAUAACCUGCCCUUAAUUUUGGAAUAACCCAGGGAAACCUGGGCUAAUACCGGAUAAGUAAACCUGUGGCAUCACAUGGUUUUGGAAAGUUUUUCGAUUAAGGAUGGAUUCGCGGCCUAUCAGCGUGUUGGUGAGGUAAUGGCUCACCCAGGCGACGACGGGUAGCCGGCCUGAGAGGGUGAACGGCCACACUGGGACUGAGACACGGCCCAGACUCCUACGGGAGGCAGCAGUGGGGAAGAUUGCGCAAUGGACGAAAGUCUGACGCAGCGACGCCUCGUGAGGGACGAAGGUCUUCGGAUUGUAAACCUCUUACAGCAGGGACGAAGCGAAAGUGACGGUACCUGCAGAAGAAGCACCGGCUAACUAUGUGCCAGCCGCCGCAGUAA